This 21-nucleotide microRNA is filed under the name Ananas comosus (pineapple). Its description in RNAcentral is "microRNA s0243_c087". Lineage: Eukaryota; Viridiplantae; Streptophyta; Magnoliopsida; Poales; Bromeliaceae. The record is from RNAcentral.
AGCUAGUUCAUGAUCGACCUU